Molecule: ribosomal RNA, 273 nt
Filed under: uncultured bacterium
Lineage: Bacteria
Description: partial 16S ribosomal RNA
Rfam family: Bacterial small subunit ribosomal RNA
Source: RNAcentral
AUACGAAGGGGGCUAGCGUUGUUCGGAAUCACUGGGCGUAAAGCGCACGUAGGUGGAUCAAUCAGUUGAGGGUGAAAUCCCGGGGCUCAACCUCGGAACUGCCUUAAUACUGUUGGUCUUGAGUCCGAGAGAGGUGAGUGGAAUUCCUAGUGUAGAGGUGAAAUUCGUAGAUAUUAGGAAGAACACCAGUGGCGAAGGCGGCUCACUGGCUCGGUACUGACGCUGAGGUGCGAAAGCGUGGGGAGCAAACAGGAUUAGAUACCCUAGUAGUCC